UGGGGAAUUUUGCACAAUGGGGGAAACCCUGAUGCAGCGACGCCGCGUGAUUUAGAAGGCCUUCGGGUUGUAAAAAUCUUUUCUAUGGGAAGAAAAUGACAGUACCAUAGGAAUAAGGACCGGCUAUUUACGUGCCAGCAGCCGCGGUAAUACGUAAGGUCCGAGCGUUGUCCGGAAUCAUUGGGCGUAAAGUGUACGUAGGCGGGUAAGCAAGUUAGAAGUGAAAUCCUAUAGCUCAACUAUAGUAAGCUUUUAAAACUGCUCAUCUUGAGGUAUGGAAGGGAAAGUGGAAUUCCUAGUGUAGCGGUGAAAUGCGCAGAUAUUAGGAGGAAUACCGGUAGCGAAGGCGACUUUCUGGCCAUAACCUGACGCUGAGGUACGAAAGCGUGGGUAGCAAACAGG
Molecule: ribosomal RNA, 402 nt
Filed under: bacterium
Lineage: Bacteria
Description: partial 16S ribosomal RNA
Rfam family: Bacterial small subunit ribosomal RNA
Source: RNAcentral